Molecule: ribosomal RNA, 300 nt
Filed under: uncultured Adlercreutzia sp.
Lineage: Bacteria; Bacillati; Actinomycetota; Coriobacteriia; Eggerthellales; Eggerthellaceae
Description: bacterial SSU rRNA
Rfam family: Bacterial small subunit ribosomal RNA
Source: RNAcentral
CGGAAGUAGUGGCCAGCAGGCGCGGUAAAGCGUAGGAGGCAAGCGUUAUCCGGAUGUGCGGGGCGUACAGCGCAGGCGGGAGGCGGCUGAAGUCGGACUGGAAAGCGCCGGGCUCAAAUGGGAGAGGUCGUUCGGAACUGCGCGGCUUGAGGUUGGAAGAGGAGAGCGGAAUUCCCGGUGUAGUGGUGGAAUGCGUAGAUAUCGGGAGGAACACCAGUGGCGAAAGCGGCUCUCUGGUCCACACCUGACGCUCAGGUGCGAAAGCGUGGGUAGCGAACGGGAUUAGAUACCCUGGUAGUC